UAAGCUGAAAAUCAUAAAAGAUAAGUAAAUGAGUAAGGGCUAUUCAUCCUACUCAGUCCCACUCCUACCUUAUCAGAUACUUUCAGUUAUUUCUACUUUUCCUCUCGAGAUUCGCUGUGAGAUACUAGAACUUCUUUUUGAUGCAUACUUGUGGGAAGAUUUUGAUUAUCCAUGAGAUUACAGUUGUAACUUCAUAGACUCCCAAAGGGAAAUUCUUGCCUGACUGGCUCAUGGAGAAAGCCUACCUAAGAAUGAAGCCGGGACCCGGCAGAAUGGCUCCUGUGAAGAAGGGUGGCAAGAAGAAAAAGGGCCGUUCUGCCAUCAAUGAGGUGGUGACCCGAGAAUACACCAUCAACAUUCACAAGUGCAUCCAUGGAGUGGGCUUCAAGAAGCAUGCCCCUUGAGCACUCAAAGAGAUUCGGAAAUUUGUCAGGAAGGAGAUGGGAACUCUAGAUGUGCACAACUGAUACCAGGCUCAACAAGGCUGUCUGGGCCAAAGGAAUAAGGAAUGUCCCAUGCCGAAUCCAUGUGCAGUUGUCCAGAGAAUAUAAUGAGGAUGAAGAUUCACCAAAUAAGCUCUGUACUUCGGUUACCUAUGUACCUGUUACCACUUUCAAAAAUCUAUAGACAGUCAUUGUGGAUGAGAAC
Homo sapiens (human) is the source of this 648-nucleotide long non-coding RNA. The record is from Ensembl. Lineage: Eukaryota; Metazoa; Chordata; Mammalia; Primates; Hominidae.